AAUCAACGCUGGCGGCGUGCCUAACACAUGCAAGUCGAACGCGAAAGCCCCGCAAGGGGUGAGUAGAGUGGCAAACGGGUGAGUAACACGUGGGUGACCUGCCUUCGAGUGGGGGAUAACGUCCCGAAAGGGACGCUAAUACCGCAUAACAUCCUGCCUUUUAAGAGGUGGACAUCAAAGCUGGGGAUCGCAAGACCUAGCGCUUGAAGAGGGGCCCGCGCCUGAUUAGCUAGNGGUUGGGGUAAUGGCUCACCAAGGCAACGAUCAGUAUCCGGCCUGAGAGGGCGGACGGACACACUGGGACUGAGACACGGCCCAGACUCCUACGGGAGGCAGCAGUGGGGAAUUGUUCGCAAUGGGCGCAAGCCUGACGACGCAACGCCGCGUGGAGGACGAA
RNAcentral lists this ribosomal RNA (397 nucleotides) under uncultured bacterium. Its description in RNAcentral is "bacterial SSU rRNA". It matches the Rfam family "Bacterial small subunit ribosomal RNA", at positions 29 to 412 of the family's 1533-position model. The record is from RNAcentral.